AAAAGGUACGCCGGUUAAGGAUGAUUAGAUUUAGUAUUAGGUAGUCGGUGGGGUUUAGCCUACCGAGCCAAAGAUGCUUAGUUGGUCUGUGAGGACGAUCAACCACACUGGGACUGAGACAAGGCCCAGGUUUCAUUUGAAGGCAGCAGUAAGGAAUAUUGGACAAUGAGCGAAAGCUUGAUCCAGCAAGGCUUGGUGAGGGAUUGAAGGCUAAGGUUGUAAACCUCUUUUUUAACUGAGGAUAAUGACAUUAAGUUAAGAAUAAGUCCCGACUAACUUCGUGCCAGCAGUCGCGGUAAUACGAAGGGGGCUAGCCUUAUUCGUCAUAACUGGGCGUAAAGGGUCCGUAGGUGGCUCUUUGUAAUGUUAUAGGUCAAAUCCUUUAGCUAAACUAAAGAAGGGUCUUUAAUACAGAAGAGCUUGAGUCUGAUAAAGGAUAAUGGAAUUUUUCAACGAGGGGUAAAAUCCAUAGAAGUGAAAAGGAACAUCAAAUGCGAAAGCGAUUAUUUAGUUCAGCACUGACGCUGAGGGACGAAGGCAUAGGUAGCGAACAGGAUUUGAGACCCUGGUAGUCUAUGCUGUCAACGAUGAAUGCUAGUUUUUAGAUAACUAGAAGCUAUAGCUAAGGCAUUAAGCAUUCCGCCUGAGGAGUACGAGCGCAAGCUUAAAAAUCAACGGAAUUGGCGGGGGUUCAAACAAGUGGUGGAGCAUGUGGUUUAAUGCGAUAAUACGCGCGCAACCUUACCAGUUCUAGUAAGUCUGUCAUUCUUGCGGAGACGUUUUGAAUUUUGGGACUUUCAGGUGUUGCAUGGCUGUCGUCAGCUCGUGUCGUGAGAUGUACGGUUAAUUCCUGUAACUGAGCGCAACCCUUAUC
Molecule: ribosomal RNA, 874 nt
Filed under: Sargassum patens
Lineage: Eukaryota; Phaeophyceae; Fucales; Sargassaceae
Description: SSU rRNA
Rfam family: Bacterial small subunit ribosomal RNA
Source: RNAcentral